Molecule: long non-coding RNA, 358 nt
Filed under: Homo sapiens (human)
Lineage: Eukaryota; Metazoa; Chordata; Mammalia; Primates; Hominidae
Description: HSALNT0379492
Source: RNAcentral
GGGAUAUAGGCAUUAAGGUUACGGAAGAAGAUGUCCAUAUUUUUUAGAGAUGCAUCCUAGCAUAUGUAAGGGGUCUGCAAUUUGUUUAAAAACAAUUCAGCCAGAGGGAAAGAGAGCCAAGCAAUUAGGAAUAACUGAAACAUACGUGGCAAAUUCUUGAUAACAUUUGAACCUGGAUGGUGGGUAUGUUGGGGUGCAUUGUACUUUAUACUCUAUGUUUGAAAUAUUUUAUGUUAAAAAUGAUUAAAGGGGCCGGGCGCGGUGGCUCACACCUGUACUCCCAGCACUUUGGGAGGCCGAGGCGGGUGGAUCACGAGGUCGGGAGUUCGAGACCAGCCUGGCCAAGAUGGUGAAACCC